This 501-nucleotide ribosomal RNA is filed under the name uncultured bacterium. RNAcentral describes it as "partial 16S ribosomal RNA". It matches the Rfam family "Bacterial small subunit ribosomal RNA", at positions 30 to 523 of the family's 1533-position model. The record is from RNAcentral.
AUUGAACGCUGGCGGCAGGCUUAACACAUGCAAGUCGAGCGGAGAUGAGGUGCUUGCACCUUAUCUUAGCGGCGGACGGGUGAGUAAUGCUUAGGAAUCUGCCUAUUAGUGGGGGACAACAUUCCGAAAGGAAUGCUAAUACCGCACACGUCCUACGGGAGAAAGCAGGGGAUCUUCGGACCUUGCGCUAUUAGAUGAGCCUAAGUCGGAUUAGCUAGUUGGUGGGGUAAAGGCCUACCAAGGCGACGAUCAGUAGCGGGUCUGAGAGGAUGAUCCGCCACACUGGGACUGAGACACGGCCCAGACUCCUACGGGAGGUAGCAGUGGGGAAUAUUGGACAAUGGGGGGAACCCUGAUCCAGCCAUGCCGCGUGUGUGAAGAAGGCCUUAUGGUUGUAAAGCACUUUAAGCGAGGAGGAGGCUACUGAGACUAAUACUCUUGGAUAGUGGACGUUACUCGCAGAAUAAGCACCGGCUAACUCUGUGCCAGCCGCCGCCGUAA